GAUGAAGAACGUAGCGAAAUGCGAUAAGUAAUGUGAAUUGCAGAAUUCAGUGAAUCAUCGAAUCUUUGAACGCACAUUGCGCCCGCCAGUAUUCUGGCGGGCAUGCCUGUCUGAGCGUCAUUUCAACCCUCAUGCCCCUAGGGCGUGGUGUUGGGGAUCGGCCAAAGCCCGCGAGGGACGGCCGGCCCCUAAAUCUAGUGGCGGACCCGUCGUGGCCUCCUCUGCGAAGUAGUGAUAUUCAGCAUCGGAGAGCGAUGAGCCCCUGCCGUUAAACCCCCAACUUUCCAAGGUUGACCUCAGAUCAGGUAGGAAUACCCGCUGAACUUAAGCAUAUCAAUAAGCGGAGGA
RNAcentral lists this unclassified non-coding RNA (348 nucleotides) under soil metagenome. RNAcentral describes it as "partial contains 5.8S ribosomal RNA, internal transcribed spacer 2, and large subunit ribosomal RNA". The stretch from base 1 to 120 matches the Rfam family "5.8S ribosomal RNA", at positions 35 to 154 of the family's 154-position model. The record is from RNAcentral.